ACUAACAAGGAUUCCCCUAGUAACGGCGAGUGAAGAGGGAAGAGCUCAAAUUUGAAAGCUGGUACCUUCGGUAUCCGCGUUGUAACCUCGAGACACGUUUUCCGUGCGGCGCUAUGGACAAGUUCCUUGGAACAGGACAUCGUAGAGGGUGAAAAUCCCGUACUUGCCAUGGAUGUACCGUGCUUUGCGAUACGUGCUCUAAGAGUCGAGUUGUUUGGGAUUGCAGCUCAAAAUGGGUGGUAGACUCCAUCUAAAGCUAAAUAUCGGGGAGAGACCGAUAGCGAACAAGUACCGUGAGGGAAAGAUGAAAAGCACUUUGGAAAGAGAGUUAAAAGUACGUGAAAUUGUCGAAAGGGAAGCGCUUGAAGUCAGCCAUGCCGCUCAGGACUCAGCCUGGCUUUUGCUUGGUGUAUUUCCUGGGUAGCAAGUCAGCAUUGGUUUGGAUCGUCGGAGAAGCAUAGUCGGAAUGUGGCGCCCUCGGGCGUGUUAUAGCCUUCUAUUGGAUACGACGAUCUAGACCAAGGAACGCAGCGCGCCUUAUGGCGGGUCUUCGGACACCUUCGCGCUUAG
Molecule: ribosomal RNA, 570 nt
Filed under: Malassezia furfur
Lineage: Eukaryota; Fungi; Basidiomycota; Malasseziomycetes; Malasseziales; Malasseziaceae
Description: LSU rRNA
Rfam family: Eukaryotic large subunit ribosomal RNA
Source: RNAcentral